Protopterus annectens (West African lungfish) is the source of this 95-nucleotide small nucleolar RNA. RefSeq annotates it as small nucleolar RNA SNORD116. The transcript has a single exon. NCBI's taxonomy places the organism in Eukaryota, Metazoa, Chordata, Ceratodontiformes, Protopteridae. The record is from RefSeq and is a predicted model, not a curated record.
GUGUCAGUUUUGUUCUUGAAAAAUACAGUCUCUGUAAAAUAUUAAACAGAGUUACUGAGAAUUCACUAAAGUCUUAUUUUUAGGUAACUGAGCAC